AUUGAACGCUGGAGGCGUGCUUAACACAUGCAAGUCGAACGAUGAAAUGGAGCUUGCUCCAUGGAUUAGUGGCGAACGGGUGAGUAACACGUGAAUAACCUGCCCUUAAUUUUGGAACAACCCAGGGAAACCUGGGCUAAUACCGUAUAAGUAAACCUGUGGCAUCACAUGGUUUUGGAAAGUCUUUCGAUUAAGGAUGGAUUCGCGGCCUAUCAGCUCGUUGGUGAGGUAAUGGCUCACCAAGGCGACGACGGGUAGCCGGCCUGAGAGGGUGAACGGCCACACUGGGACUGAGACACGGCCCAGACUCCUACGGGAGGCAGCAGUGGGGAAUAUUGCGCAAUGGACGAAAGUCUGACGCAGCGACGCCUCGUGAGGGACGAAGGUCUUCGGAUUGUAAACCUCUUUCAGCAGGGACGAAGCGAGAGUGACGGUACCUGCAGAAGAAGCACCGGCUAACUAUGUGCCAGCCGCCGCCGUAA
This 482-nucleotide ribosomal RNA is filed under the name uncultured bacterium. Its description in RNAcentral is "partial 16S ribosomal RNA". It matches the Rfam family "Bacterial small subunit ribosomal RNA", at positions 30 to 523 of the family's 1533-position model. The record is from RNAcentral.